This 496-nucleotide long non-coding RNA is filed under the name Drosophila guanche. Lineage: Eukaryota; Metazoa; Arthropoda; Insecta; Diptera; Drosophilidae. The record is from RNAcentral.
CUGAUCCCACGAGAUGUAGAGAAGAGGAACGGUCAGCCCGGGCAGAGAUCCACGUUGCCCAGGUAAGGCAUCAUUAUAACAGGGAGCUGCCAUUUCCCUGAGCUCUCCGUUCACGACUGGGCUAGUUUUUAUACCGGGCCCCCAGCCAGACUGACUCUCGGCACGGGUCGAAUGACACCUUAGUCCGGCCCGGUUUGAGGUGGGUGGGUGAGGAUGAGGAUAGGUGUUGUGUGGGGAAGGGAAGUAUGUGAGCUACUUAUACGAGGCGGCACCACAAGCGCAUCGUCAGUGUUGCUACUUAGCUACUUCGCGAACACCCGCUGGCUGUCCGGGGCUGUUUAUUUCCGCUUAUUCACAGCUAACCUAAUUAAACAAGGUAGGCCGUUCGCUAUCCGUAACCUGCGACCCGUCCGGUGGCCUCAGCCUUAGCUCUUUGGAUUCGUCGGAGUUUUUCACAUAACUAUCUUAGAUCUGCUUGUGAAGAACUUUAAUUGUC